UCCAUUGCUUGACGUCCCUUCCGGGACGGG
RNAcentral lists this small RNA (30 nucleotides) under Bombyx mori (domestic silkworm). RNAcentral describes it as "ovarian small RNA-27096". The record is from RNAcentral. Lineage: Eukaryota; Metazoa; Arthropoda; Insecta; Lepidoptera; Bombycidae.